CCUACGGGAGGCAGCAGUGGGGAAUUUUCCGCAAUGGGCGAAAGCCUGACGGAGCAAGACCGCGUGAGGGAGGAAGGCUCUUGGGUUGUAAACCUCUUUUCUCUGGGAAGAAGUCCUGACGGUACCAGAGGAAUCAGCAUCGGCUAACUCCGUGCCAGCAGCCGCGGUAAUACGGAGGAUGCAAGCGUUAUCCGGAAUCAUUGGGCGUAAAGCGUCCGCAGGUGGACUGGUAAGUCUGCCGUCAAAGGACGGGGCUUAACCCCGUAAAGGCGGUGGAAAC
This 280-nucleotide ribosomal RNA is filed under the name uncultured cyanobacterium. Its description in RNAcentral is "partial 16S ribosomal RNA". It matches the Rfam family "Bacterial small subunit ribosomal RNA", at positions 338 to 633 of the family's 1533-position model. The record is from RNAcentral. Lineage: Bacteria; Bacillati; Cyanobacteriota.